RNAcentral lists this transfer RNA (68 nucleotides) under Pedobacter sp. IW39. Its description in RNAcentral is "tRNA-Phe". It matches the Rfam family "tRNA". From Rfam's summary of the family: Transfer RNA (tRNA) molecules are approximately 80 nucleotides in length. Their secondary structure includes four short double-helical elements and three loops (D, anti-codon, and T loops). Further hydrogen bonds mediate the characteristic L-shaped molecular structure. tRNAs have two regions of fundamental functional importance: the anti-codon, which is responsible for specific mRNA codon recognition, and the 3' end, to which the tRNAs corresponding amino acid is attached (by aminoacyl-tRNA synthetases). tRNAs cope with the degeneracy of the genetic code in two manners: having more than one tRNA (with a specific anti-codon) for a particular amino acid; and 'wobble' base-pairing, i.e. permitting non-standard base-pairing at the 3rd anti-codon position. Lineage: Bacteria; Pseudomonadati; Bacteroidota; Sphingobacteriia; Sphingobacteriales; Sphingobacteriaceae. The record is from RNAcentral.
GGUGCGGUAGCUCGUCGGUAGAGCAGGAUUGAAAAUCUGUGUCGCCGGUUCGAUCCCGGCCCACAUUA